CGACUGAAGGGAUGAAAAGAGGAAAUGACUUCAUUCCCCAUGUUACUGUGCAGUGUCUCAGCAUCCAAUCACAAGGGCAGGUAAACAGGAAGGGAGAAGAAGAAGUAGGUCAUUCCCCAGCAUAGUAGAAAAGAAGCACUUUAAGUAACUGCUCAGGAUGGCUUUGGGAGUCAUCUUUAACAAUCAGAGCAAGAGAAGAUGCUUACAGCUCACCCGAGGUCAGCUGGAGCAACUACUUAGCCUUCCUGACAGUAGUACAGUGGAUUACAGCCUGAACCACAAGAGUCUCCAGGGAACAGGGUCCAGCUCUUCAGAGCCUGGUUUUGAUUGAAACCUCAUAAAGCACAGCUGACACAGUCCUGGAAGCACAUGACGAUAUUGAAUUCUACUAGACCAGUGAAACUGAUAAGUUUGGUAAGGCUUAUUCAUCAGUUGUAAUAACUGAAGCUCUCUACAAAUUGUACAAAAAGCUAAUAUGAGCGCUUUGCACUUCUGUAACUUCAUUAAUCCAAAAACCUUGGAAUGUCUAAUGACUUUAAUCAGUUACAUUCCCCCAAACUUGCAGAAUUGCAUCACAUGUGCCUAAAAAUGCACCAUCUUUGGAAGGAAACGGGACAAUACCUAACAAUUGACGGAGGAAAUGUACAGGAAUGUUUUGUCUAAGGUAAAAUAGUGCUACUGUACUUUUCUGACAAGGUUACCUGCAGCUAAUGGAGGUUGAAGCAUUUGGGGUACCCUCCUG
Molecule: long non-coding RNA, 742 nt
Filed under: Struthio camelus australis
Lineage: Eukaryota; Metazoa; Chordata; Aves; Struthioniformes; Struthionidae
Description: lncRNA (ENSSCUG00000008779.1)
Source: RNAcentral